This 555-nucleotide ribosomal RNA is filed under the name uncultured bacterium. RNAcentral's name for it is "partial 16S ribosomal RNA". It matches the Rfam family "Bacterial small subunit ribosomal RNA", at positions 355 to 900 of the family's 1533-position model. The record is from RNAcentral.
UAGGGAAUCUUCCACAAUGGACGCAAGUCUGAUGGAGCAACGCCGCGUGAGUGAAGAAGGUUUUCGGAUCGUAAAGCUCUGUUGUUGGUGAAGAAGGAUAGAGGUAGUAACUGGCCUUUAUUUGACGGUAAUCAACCAGAAAGUCACGGCUAACUACGUGCCAGCAGCCGCGGUAAUACGUAGGUGGCAAGCGUUGUCCGGAUUUAUUGGGCGUAAAGCGAGCGCAGGCGGAAGAAUAAGUCUGAUGUGAAAGCCCUCGGCUUAACCGAGGAAUUGCAUCGGAAACUGUUUUCUUGAGUGCAGAAGAGGAGAGUAGAACUCCAUGUGUAGCGGUGGAAUGCGUAGAUAUAUGGAAGAAUACCAGUGGCGAAGGCGGCUCUCUGGUCUGCAACUGACGCUGAGGCUCGAAAGCAUGGGUAGCGAACAGGAUUAGAUACCCUGGUAGUCCAUGCCGUAAAACGAUGAGUGCUAAGUGUUGGGAGGCUUCCGCCUCUCAGUGCUGCAGCUAACGCAUUAAGCACUCCGCCUGGGGGAGUACGACCGCAAGGUUGAAAC